AUUGAACGCUGGCGGCAGGCCUAAUACAUGCCAGUCGAGCGGAUGAAGGGAGCUUGCUCCUGGAUUCAGCGGCGGACGGGUGAGUAAUGCCUAGGAAUCUGCCUGGUAGUGGGGGAUAACGUCCGGAAACGGGCGCUAAUACCGCAUACGUCCUGAGUGAGAAAGUGGGGGAUCUUCGGACCUCACGCUAUCAGAUGAGCCUAAGUCGGAUUAGCUAGUUGGUGGGGUAAAGGCCUACCAAGGCGACGAUCCGUAACUGGUCUGAGAGGAUGAUCAGUCACACUGGAACUGAGACACGGUCCAGACUCCUACGGGAGGCAGCAGUAGGGAAUAUUGGACAAUGGGCGAAAGCCUGAUCCAGCCAUGCCGCGUGUGUGAAGAAGGUCUUCGGAUUGUAAAGCACUUUAAGUAGGGAGGAAGGGCAGUAAGUUAAUACCUUGCUGUUUUGACGUUACCAACAGAAUAAGCACCGGCUAACUUCGUG
Molecule: ribosomal RNA, 484 nt
Filed under: uncultured bacterium
Lineage: Bacteria
Description: partial 16S ribosomal RNA
Rfam family: Bacterial small subunit ribosomal RNA
Source: RNAcentral